This 465-nucleotide ribosomal RNA is filed under the name uncultured bacterium. RNAcentral's name for it is "partial 16S ribosomal RNA". It matches the Rfam family "Bacterial small subunit ribosomal RNA", at positions 28 to 507 of the family's 1533-position model. The record is from RNAcentral.
GACGAACGCUGGCGGCGUGCUUAACACAUGCAAGUCGAACGGAAAGGCCCCUUUGGGGGUACUCGAGCGGCGAACGGGUGAGUAACACGCGAGUAACCUGCCCUUGACUUCGGGAUAACUUCAGGAAACUGGGGCUAAUACCUGAUAGGAAUCCUUGCCGCAUGGUGGGGGUUGGAAAGCUUCGGCGGUUUUGGAUGGACUCGCGGCCUAUCAGCUUGUUGGUGGGGUAGUGGCUUACCAAGGGUUUGACGGGUAGCCGGCCUGGGGGGGCGACCGGCCACAUUGGGACUGGGGUACGGCCCAGGCUCCUACGGGGAGCAACAGUGGGGGAUAUUGCACAAUGGGCGGGAACCUGAUGCAGCAACGCCGCGUGCGGGAUGACGGCCUUCGGGUUGUAAACCGCUUUCAGCAGGGGCGAAGCUUGUGGUGACGGUACCUGCAGAAGAAGCACCGGCUAACUACGUG